GGACCACAGAGCUGGGCCUCCUCGCAGUGUCCACUUGGGUUUUUCCAUGAGGCCUCACUGGUGAAGGCUCCGCGGCUUCGGGGCUCAGGAGUGUCGUGGCGUUAGGACGCGCUGAAAAGACGAGACGGCUGGAAGGGAACUCUCCUUGUGCAACCUUAAGGCUGCAGCCUUAAUGCCUUGAGUCACCACACGGCCGCUUGGUUCCGGUUAGUGUCCUCACUGUGGCAGGGAUGUUAGCCAGACGAAGGGGCUUUGCUGGUGACUCACCUGAUUCAAGGCCAUCUGCCCGGGGGAGGAGGGGGGGAGACCACAAAAAGACCACAACACACAACACCCGCAGAUGAAUAGAUAUAUCACCUCGCAGAUCCAGUUACGACGAGUCAACAAUGGACACAAAAGGCUCAAUGUACACGCCGGAUCAAAAAGAGCCUUCAGAUAAUGGGUCCAGAACGCUGCAGGUCUGCCCAGAACCUCUGUGGGCGAGGACAAUGCCGGCAUGGAUCUGGAUACGGUGACGUCUCCUAUUGCUCCCCGUCCCCACUCCCAAGAAGAAAAAUCCCCAUUUGAGACAAAGACGUUUGUCAAGGUCCCGUCACAGGAAAAGGGGGAUUUGAAGAUUUUCAAAAGCAGAGGCUGACAGUUCAGAUGUGGUGGAGCCUUUGCCUGGUGACACAUGGAGAUAAUAACCGUGGCAGUGACUCAAGAGUCAAAUACCAACAUUUUUCACAAAGCCAUGGUGGAAGAAGUCAUACAUUGUCACUUUAAUCACCUUCUAAACCUCGGGUAUGUCGUUUUUUUGUGGAGAAGAAAAGUCUCCACUGCUGUGGAAGACGACCGGCAAGC
This is a long non-coding RNA of Gasterosteus aculeatus aculeatus (three-spined stickleback), 843 nucleotides long. NCBI's taxonomy places the organism in Eukaryota, Metazoa, Chordata, Actinopteri, Perciformes, Gasterosteidae. The record is from Ensembl.